ACGGAAGGCAGCAGUGGGGAAUAUUGCACAAUGGGGGGAACCCUGAUGCAGCGACGCCGCGUGAGUGAAGAAGUAUUUCGGUAUGUAAAGCUCUAUCAGCAGGGAAGAAGAUGACGGUACCUGACUAAGAAGCACCGGCUAAAUACGUGCCAGCAGCCGCGGUAAUACGUAUGGUGCAAGCGUUAUCCGGAUUUACUGGGUGUAAAGGGAGCGUAGACGGCAAAGCAAGUCUGAAGUGAAAUCCCGGGGCUCAACCCCGGAACUGCUUUGGAAACUGUUUAGCUAGAGUGCAGGAGAGGUAAGCGGAAUUCCUAGUGUAGCGGUGAAAUGCGUAGACAUUAGGAGGAACACCAGUGGCGAAGGCGGCUUACUGGACGAUUACUGACGCUGAGGCUCGAAAGCGUGGGGAGCAAACAGGAUUAGAUACCCUGGUA
This 434-nucleotide ribosomal RNA is filed under the name uncultured Lachnospiraceae bacterium. Its description in RNAcentral is "partial 16S ribosomal RNA". It matches the Rfam family "Bacterial small subunit ribosomal RNA", at positions 341 to 792 of the family's 1533-position model. The record is from RNAcentral. Lineage: Bacteria; Bacillati; Bacillota; Clostridia; Lachnospirales; Lachnospiraceae.